Non-coding RNA from Mycena metata, 79 nucleotides. The record is from the annotation of a GenBank genome assembly. Lineage: Eukaryota; Fungi; Basidiomycota; Agaricomycetes; Agaricales; Mycenaceae.
GGCCAGGUAGCACAGCGGUUAGCGCGCAGAUGCUUGAUUCGAGGUCAAAGCUCCCCUCGUUCGACCCGGGGUCUGGCCU